AUUGAACGCUGGCGGAAUGCUUUACACAUGCAAGUCGAACGGCAGCACGGACUUCGGUCUGGUGGCGAGUGGCGAACGGGUGAGUAAUGUAUCGGAACGUGCCCAGUCGUGGGGGAUAACGUAGUGAAAAUUACGCUAAUAACGCAUACGAUCUAUGGAUGAAAGCGGGGGAUCGCAAGACCUUGCGCGAUUGGAGCGGCCUAUAUCAGAUUAGGUAGUUGGUGGGGUAAAGGCCCACCAAGCCAACGAUCUGUAGCUGGUCUGAGAGGACGACCAGCCACACUGGAACUGAGACACGGUCCAGACUCCUACGGGAGGCAGCAGUGGGGAAUUUUGGACAAUGGGCGAAAGCCUGAUCCAGCCAUUCCGCGUGCAGGAUGAAGGCCCUCGGGUUGUAAACUGCUUUUGUACAGAACGAAAAGGUUUCUACUAAUACUAGGAGCUCAUGACGGUACUGUAAGAAUAAGCACCGGCUAACUACGUGCCAGCAGCCGCAGUAA
Molecule: ribosomal RNA, 500 nt
Filed under: uncultured bacterium
Lineage: Bacteria
Description: partial 16S ribosomal RNA
Rfam family: Bacterial small subunit ribosomal RNA
Source: RNAcentral